AUUUUCUACAUCCAAUUCAGGAUGCCACUGGCUCUAACAGCAGAAAGAAACCAUGAGCUGCAGUGGUUGCAAUUCAGGAGAGCUCUGGGCUGAGUGACUGUGUGAAGUAAACAUGGGGCCAGACAGAAACUCUCUGGCUGCAGACCAGACGCAGCACUGCUCCUGCCAGCAGUGGGCUGAUUGCUUGUGGAAUGUCCAAAUAUCUUCAGUCUUUUCAGCACUAUUAAAAUAA
This 232-nucleotide long non-coding RNA is filed under the name Numida meleagris (helmeted guineafowl). Its description in RNAcentral is "lncRNA (ENSNMEG00000019647.1)". Lineage: Eukaryota; Metazoa; Chordata; Aves; Galliformes; Numididae. The record is from RNAcentral.